AACGAACGCUGGCGGCAUGCCUAACACAUGCAAGUCGAACGAGACCUUCGGGUCUAGUGGCGCACGGGUGCGUAACGCGUGGGAACCUGCCCUUAGGUUCGGAAUAACUCCCCGAAAGGGGUGCUAAUACCGGAUAAUGUCUUCGGACCAAAGAUUUAUCGCCUUUGGAUGGGCCCGCGUUGGAUUAGCUAGUUGGUAGGGUAAAAGCCUACCAAGGCGACGAUCCAUAGCUGGUCUGAGAGGAUGACCAGCCACACUGGGACUGAGACACGGCCCAGACUCCUACGGGAGGCAGCAGUGGGUAAUAUUGGACAAUGGGCGAAAGCCUGAUACAGCAAUGCCGCGUGAGUGAUGAAGGGCUUAGGGUUGUAAAGCUCUUUUACCCGGGAUGAUAAUGACAGUACCGGGAGAAUAAGCUCCGGCUAACUCCGUG
RNAcentral lists this ribosomal RNA (433 nucleotides) under uncultured bacterium. Its description in RNAcentral is "partial 16S ribosomal RNA". It matches the Rfam family "Bacterial small subunit ribosomal RNA", at positions 29 to 507 of the family's 1533-position model. The record is from RNAcentral.